Molecule: long non-coding RNA, 921 nt
Filed under: Chinchilla lanigera (long-tailed chinchilla)
Lineage: Eukaryota; Metazoa; Chordata; Mammalia; Rodentia; Chinchillidae
Description: lncRNA (ENSCLAG00000026240.1)
Source: RNAcentral
GGUUUCUUUAGCUCACAGUUUGUGGAGGUUUCAGUCCAUAAUCAGCUGGCUCCAAGGCAGGGUGGUGUGGCACAGGGGCAAACAGUUCAAGCUGGCAAAACACAGCAAAAGUGGCAAGAGCAGAAGUGGGGAGGAAGCCUCUUUUCCCCCCUUAUAUUGUAAGCAGGCUACCAUCCCCCAGGGCAGGUAUAGUGCUCACAACAUCUCCAUUGCCUCCUCUUGCACAGGAUGAGGAUGCUUACAAAGUGAGGAUCCUGGCUACCUGCUGAAUCUUAGUUAAACUUCUAAACUUUUCAGUUGACACAAUGUAUCAACCAUUACAGCAGCUCUCCCAGCUCUUCCCAUUUUUAUCUCCUCCCCAUUGGCCAUUCUAGGAAUCCAGGCAACUGGGUUGGAGGUGGCAGAGAGAGGUUGGAGCUAUCAAUCCCCAGCAGUGUGUUCAAUUGGUAUGAUGGGGAGAAGCAGUGGUGCACUCAGAGAAAGAUCCAACGCUGGACCUUCACCAAGGACCAGAAGACUCCUGCUGAACUUUAGCAUUGAAACAUGCUGCCACUGGCACCAUAUGUACUGCUAUUGGCAGUAACUAUCUUCAGAUAAAAACAAGUGCAGACCUGCUUUUAUGGAGCAGCAUAUGUUUAGGCAGUGGAAGACACUGUCCGGUUUGCAAGAAAUCUGUCUUACUAAGUUCUUCUUUUGAACUGAUCAACAAAUUUUGUCAAAAAAUACAGCUUUCUUUCACUUGACCCAUCGUUUUUGACAUGAUAUACGGUAAUACAAGUGAGCCUGAGGAAAAUAGAUUUUAAACUACCAUCCAAUGUCAUCACAGUGCAAGUUAUAAAAGCUAAAGAAAGCAGCAUUAAGAAAAAACAAUUAAUAAAGUAUAAUAUAAAAGUAACUUAAAAUAUGUCAUAAGUUUUAAAU